AUCAAUCUGCUACUGAGAGACCAAACGGGGGGGAUUUAUGUGGGAGACAGUGAACCGUUGCUCUCUUUUAACUGUGAUUUCGGUGAAAUUUGCAAACAAAAUGGGAACACGAAUUGGGGGAACUGAACCGAGAGAGGAGAGGGGAAUUGGGGGAACUGAACAGAAGAGGGGAAUUAGGGGAACUGAACAGAAGAGGGGAAUUGGUGGAACUGGGGGAACGGGGAAUUGGGGGAACUGAACAGAAGAGGGGAAUUGGGGAAACUGGGGGAACGGGGAUUGGUUUAUCUUGCUGGUUUAAACUUGCUCCUCUGCUGGUUUUUGGAUUCUGAUUAGUUUAUUUCUUAACAUGAAUCCACCCAAUUUGAUUUGAACUCCCAUUCUCGUGGAACUCAGGGUUCUGCAAAUUUUCGUUCGGUGAAGUUUGAAAAGUGAGAAACACCAAUCGAAGAUCCUAUCCACCUUCAGUGCCACCGAAUGUCAUAUAGAAUGAAAAACCAUACAAGCUGCUUCAAAUCUACAAUUUUGUGGCUCAGUACUGGCAAAUGAAGGUUGUAUGGCUUCGGCACUGGUACAUGGUGAUAUCAAAAUGGUUCCUUUUUUUUUUCUUUAUUUUGUGUUUAGGUUCAUAGGAAGAGAGUGUUGUAAAAUAUCUCCAUGAAGUCACAAAACUAUGAUCUAGAUCAAUAGCGGAUACACAUGUAAUUCCCACUAACUUUUUCAUCUGUUCGUAAUGGUUCUAUCUUGCUAUGUUUCUCCAG
Molecule: long non-coding RNA, 758 nt
Filed under: Populus tremula
Lineage: Eukaryota; Viridiplantae; Streptophyta; Magnoliopsida; Malpighiales; Salicaceae
Description: long non-coding RNA (PTRE_LNC002654)
Source: RNAcentral